AAACAAGAUAAUUUCGCCAGAGUACUACUAGCAACAGCCUAAAACUCAAAGGACUUGGCGGUGCUUCAUACCCCUCUAGAGGAGCCUGUUCUGUAACCGAUAAACCCCGAUCAACCUCACCAACCCUUGCUACUUCAGUCUAUAUACCGCCAUCUUCAGCAAACCCUAAAGGGAGCAAAAGUAAGCAUAACCAUCCUACAUAAAAACGUUAGGUCAAGGUGUAACCUAUGGGUUGGGAAGAAAUGGGCUACAUUUUCUAAGCUAAGAACAUCCCCUACCCACACGAAAGUUUUUAUGAAACUUAAAAACCANNGGAGGAUUUAGUAGUAAAUCAAGAGCAGAGUGCUUGAUUGAAUAAGGCCAUGA
This 366-nucleotide ribosomal RNA is filed under the name Megaptera novaeangliae (humpback whale). Its description in RNAcentral is "partial 12S ribosomal RNA". It matches the Rfam family "Bacterial small subunit ribosomal RNA", at positions 853 to 1377 of the family's 1533-position model. Lineage: Eukaryota; Metazoa; Chordata; Mammalia; Artiodactyla; Balaenopteridae. The record is from RNAcentral.